Long non-coding RNA from Sapajus apella (tufted capuchin), 975 nucleotides. RefSeq lists it as uncharacterized. The transcript has 3 exons. The record is from RefSeq and is a predicted model, not a curated record. Lineage: Eukaryota; Metazoa; Chordata; Mammalia; Primates; Cebidae.
CCUCGGUGCACCCCCUCUUUUGCCCUGCCCUCCUUCUCUUCCCACCUACCCACCCCGACACCCCUCGUCCCUCCCCCAACCACUCCGAACGGAUAGACAGAGUACGUCAAAGCCCUUGGCCUGCUUCCCUGAAUUGUUCCUGUCUUGGCGCAGGACCUGAGACACUGACAGAAGCAAUAUUUUCCACGAAAAUCUCUUUCAACAAAGAGGAAUACCAGUGGCAGCGCUGAGGAUAGAAUGAGCGUGGGUAAGUCGAAGAGUAAGAUGUCCUCUAGCCAUUCACAGAAUUGAUUCUGGGGAGCAUUAAGAAAGCAAAUGGAGAAGAUCAGAUGUCUGAGAGUCAGUGUUCUGAUUGUCGUGUUUAAUAAACGUGUAUCCUCUUCCAACUUUUCUGCUCAAAAGAAAAUCUAUAUAGUAAUGAUAGACAAUGGUAAUGGAAUUCUAGCCUGGUCUGCAGAAUUUUUUAGCUGUAGGAUCUUGGGGAACUUACUUAACUUCUCAACUUCUUUGAAUUUUUGAUUGCCCAUAAAAUAAAAUAUGGAGUCCUGAGCUGCCUGUCCUGCAGGAGAAGCCUUCUGUUACCUUUCCUGCUUUCCACGCCGUCCCUAGCACUUUAAGGUCCACUCGUAUUCAUUCCACAUUACCUCUGCUUAUUUUCUUAAUCAUGUGUUCUGAAAUAAUCUCUUUUGUUGCUUGGUUUAUUUAUUUUGCUUCAUCAGAAUAUAGGGUCCAUGACAGAGGGAUCUUGGGUCUUAUUCUUACUGUAUACCAAACACUAAGACAAUGCCAGGAAAUUAACUGGUAUAUAAAAGUAACUGGUAGAUGACUUCUGGGUAUAUACCCAAAAUAUUGAAAAUGGAAACUUGAACAGAUAUCUAUACUCCUAUGUUCAUAAUGGCAUUAUUUAUAGUAGCCAAAAGGUGGAAACAACUCAAGUUUCCAUUGAUAGAUCAACAAAAAAAACGAGAUAUAGAC